RNAcentral lists this ribosomal RNA (284 nucleotides) under Clostridioides difficile. RNAcentral describes it as "partial 16S ribosomal RNA". It matches the Rfam family "Bacterial small subunit ribosomal RNA", at positions 1 to 294 of the family's 1533-position model. Lineage: Bacteria; Bacillati; Bacillota; Clostridia; Peptostreptococcales; Peptostreptococcaceae. The record is from RNAcentral.
UUAUUUGAGAGUUUGAUCCUGGCUCAGGAUGAACGCUGGCGGCGUGCCUAACACAUGCAAGUUGAGCGAUUUACUUCGGUAAAGAGCGGCGGACGGGUGAGUAACGCGUGGGUAACCUACCCUGUACACACGGAUAACAUACCGAAAGGUAUGCUAAUACGGGAUAACAUAUUUGAGAGGCAUCUCUUAAAUAUCAAAGGUGAGCCAGUACAGGAUGGACCCGCGUCUGAUUAGCUAGUUGGUAAGGUAACGGCUUACCAAGGCGACGAUCAGUAGCCGACCUG